Molecule: ribosomal RNA, 421 nt
Filed under: uncultured bacterium
Lineage: Bacteria
Description: partial 16S ribosomal RNA
Rfam family: Bacterial small subunit ribosomal RNA
Source: RNAcentral
AAUAUUGGACAAUGGGGGCAACCCUGAUCCAGCCAUGCCGCGUGUGUGAAGAAGGUCUUCGGAUUGUAAAGCACUUUACGUUGGGAGGAAGGGCUUUAGGCUAAUACCCCGAACUUUUUACGUUACCAACAGAUUAAGCACAGGCACACUCUGUGCCAGCAGCCGCGGUAAUACAGGGGGUGCAAGCGUUAAUCGGAAUUACUGGGCGUAAAGCGCGCGUAGGUGGUUCAGUAAGAUGGGUGUGAAAUCCCCGGGCUUAACCUGGGAACUGCUUUCAUAACUGCUGAGCUAGAGUACGGUAGAGGGUAGUGGAAUUUCCUGUGUAGCGGUGAAAUGCGUAGAUAUAGGAAGGAACACCAGUGGCGAAGGCGACUACCUGGACUGAUACUGACACUGAGGUGCGAAAGCGUGGGGAGCAAAC